Molecule: long non-coding RNA, 2707 nt
Filed under: Mytilus galloprovincialis (Mediterranean mussel)
Lineage: Eukaryota; Metazoa; Mollusca; Bivalvia; Mytilida; Mytilidae
Source: RNAcentral
UUUUCUUUCACUUCAGGAUGUGCCAUUGCUUGAAACUGUUUCAUGGAAAGAUACUGCCUUGCUAGUGUUAGUAAUAACGUUGUUUUGGAUUUCUUUCCAACAGCUCAAGACAGCUCGGAGAGCAAAUAGAGGUAGGCAAUCUAUAGGUUUGUGACUAUCUGAAAAAAUGUCAUCAUUGAGUCACAAAAUUCCCAACAGUAGUCUCUGUCAUGAUCAAAACAAUAGCAUAAAUGUAUUCAAAUAAUAAUAAUAAAAAGUGGCAAUUAAUCGGUUACUGUUACAUAUAAGACAAUAUUGAUAAGAUACAAGGAAAGUAAGGUCAAAGUUGUGUUAUUAUUUGUUGAACGUCUGAUUGCGGAUAGGUUUUUGAUGGUCGGAGGCUGAAACCCAACAAACAUUAACAAACAAACAAAUAAGACAUAUUUUCACAAUAUCAAAAAGAAAUAGGAUGUUGAUGGCGACAGUUGAACUUCAUAAAGGCCCCAUAAUUGGCGUAAAACUGGAUUGCAAUUUUUUUUUUUUUGGUUUUUUUUUUUUGGGGGGGCGGGUAUUUCUGGCUUGAUGAUAGAUAUGUGAAACAAAACUACUAAAUAGUAAAAACAACUUUUUAAUGAAUUGGGACAAAGACCAUAACGAUCUCACUGCUUUUACUGUACGAUUUGUUUUUGUAAAGACAAAGAAAACAAAAUCAAAUCAGUUUUGACCGAAAGAUAGUGUUGCCAUUGGGAAUAAACCGACCGCUGACAAUGGUAUUGACAAAUCAGAAAUAAAUGAUAACAAGAAUGUGUCCAUAGUAUUCGGAUGCGCUACUUACAUUUUCAUUUUCUAUGUUCAUGAACCAUGCAAUUGGGGUCAAAACUCUAAUUUGGCAUUACCAUUAGAACAAUCAUAUAUUGAGAUAUAUGUGUACUAAGAUUUAAGUUGAUUGGACUUCUUUUUUUUUAUCAAAAACUUCCCUCACCAAAAAAUGUAACUAAAAACUUUAACCUGAAGUUGGACGGAAGGACAGACGGCCGGACGAACGCACAGACCGAAAAACAUAAUGCCCCUAGAUGGGACAAAAACAUAAAUACAAUACUACAUGUAUUUGAAAAAUAAAAUCGGCAAAUUCUGAAAAAUCAUUGUGUGACUAGUACGUUAUAAUUUUGCUGAAAUCAACGAACUAUUCCGUCAAAGCCUUGGUUAAAAAAAAAUUGCCGUCAGGUGUAUUGGUCUGUAAAUUUACUUUAAAAGGGACAUUGUAACAAUCACAUGAAUUCGGCAUCCAUACCAUCACACUUGUAUGAGAUACCGAUGCACUUCUUGAUUUAAUGACCGCCUUCAGUACGCCAGUAUAUAUACGUUAAUAGCUUUAUUUACCCAUUUGCACGUUUUUUUUUAUUAUGCCUUGAUGUUAAGGUGAUUUGUAAUUCUUUACUCAAAAGAAACUGUUUAUCUUUAAUAGUAAUUAAAACUUUAAUAUUCUUUUUUUUGUACAGAAUUCGGGAGCAUUAUCAUCCAAUGUUCUUAUGGUUAUGACGAAGUUUCGAGUAUCUCGAAUUUUUACACAGGUAUAUAUAUACAUACAUUGUGGUGUGAAUAAAAAAUAAAAGAAAAUCUUUAAUAUUUAUUAUAUCAAGUGACAAUUAUUGCACAUAUACAGGUAUGCAUGAUUACACAAAAUCGUGUUUUUUUUUGUUUUUUUUUUUUACACUAAAUCGUUACUGAAGUGCGGCUGCUGAUUUUACAGUAUGAAAAGGCUUGAUUAAUGCUCAGCAAAUAAUUUGAUUAAUUUAACUAACAAGUUUUCAGUACCGUUUGGACAAUUUCUAAACAAUGUAGGAUUAUUCAGCAGAAUUUGGAAUGUUGUUUUGUUUUCUUGCUUUUAGACAGUUCUUGUCCAUGACAGUUCUUGUCCAUUCGUUUUUUAUAUGUUUUGUUAUUUGAUUUUGCCAUGUGAUUAUGGACUUUCCGAAUUGAUUUUCCUCUAAGUUCAGUAUUUUUGUGAUUUUACUUUUAAGACUUUUUAAUUGUGUGCUUUAAUUUUCAAUUGAUUUCAAACUGGAAAGUGAAAUCGUUGUGGUAAUUCAUACACACAACUUUCAAAAUACAAGCUGCAAUGACAAGUUUUUAACAAAGCUAGUGGCAACGAAUUGACUAUUGGAAAUGAAUGAAAUGUUGAGAGAAGGUUUUCAAUGAGAGCACUAUUACCCCCAUUGUAUUGAUCAUGUGUAUUGCUAUCAAAAUGUAUUUCCUAGCACAGAAAAAUUGAUAUAAAAAAGAUUUUGAACAUCCUAUCAAAUAAUCUAAUCUAACCUUUUAACCUUGUGAAAAUAUUUUUUUUUAUGUUAGAAACGGAGCAAAAGUUCCUCGAGUUGGAAAAAAAGAUCCAACGUGUUGAAUUCUAGAUUUGAAAAGAUAAAAGAAAAAGUACCGUUACAAGAGGAUCGUGAUCAAACACAGAAGGAUGUGGAAUAUCUUAAGAAAAUCUGGUUUAAGCAAUAUUCAGCUUUUAGCCGCCUUCUUGGUGUGGACCUGCUGGGAACUGGAUACGAUGGAGAUUUGAAACGCGAUUUGGGCGGUAUCAGAGAUUACUUUGAUAAGUUUAAUAUUUACCAUAGCAGGGACGUGAAAUAUACAAAAUUAAAGGGACUUUCAAAUCCAGAAAUCGAAAAUAAACUGACAACGCCAUGACUUAAAAAGAAAAAGACAAACAGACAAACAAUAG